Molecule: small nuclear RNA, 96 nt
Filed under: Fukomys damarensis (Damara mole-rat)
Lineage: Eukaryota; Metazoa; Chordata; Mammalia; Rodentia; Bathyergidae
Source: RNAcentral
GAGCUCACUUUGGUAGCACUUCUACUAAAUUUGAACAAUAUAAAGAAAAUUAGCAUGCCCCCCCAUGCAAGGAUGCAUGAAGCAUUCCAUAUUUUU